This is a ribosomal RNA of 840 nucleotides. It matches the Rfam family "Eukaryotic large subunit ribosomal RNA", at positions 62 to 933 of the family's 3401-position model.
AAACCAACAGGGAUUGCCCCAGUAACGGCGAGUGAAGCGGCAACAGCUCAAAUUUGAAAUCUGGCCCCCAGGGCCCGAGUUUGUAAUUUGUAGAGGAUGCUUUUGGCGCGGCGCCUUCCGAGUUCCCUGGAACGGGACGCCAUAGAGGGUGAGAGCCCCGUCUGGUUGGACGCCUAGCCUCUGUAAAGCUCCUUCGACGAGUCGAGUAGUUUGGGAAUGCUGCUCUAAAUGGGAGGUAUAUGUCUUCUAAAGCUAAAUACCGGCCAGAGACCGAUAGCGCACAAGUAGAGUGAUCGAAAGAUGAAAAGCACUUUGAAAAGAGGGUUAAAUAGUACGUGAAAUUGUUGAAAGGGAAGCGUUUGUGACCAGACUUGGGCCCGGUUGAUCAUCCACCGUUCUCGGUGGUGCACUCUGCCGGCCCAGGCCAGCAUCAGUUCGCGCCGGGGGAUAAAGGCUUCGGGAAUGUGGCUCCUCCGGGAGUGUUAUAGCCCGUUGUGUAAUACCCUGGUGCGGACUGAGGUUCGCGCUCCGCAAGGAUGCUGGCGUAAUGGUCAUCAGCGACCCGUCUUGAAACACGGACCAAGGAGUCGUCUUCGUAUGCGAGUGUUCGGGUGUCAAACCCCUACGCGUAAUGAAAGUGAACGCAGGUGAGAGCUUCGGCGCAUCAUCGACCGAUCCUGAUGUUCUCGGAUGGAUUUGAGUAAGAGCAUACGGGGCCGGACCCGAAAGAAGGUGAACUAUGCCUGUAUAGGGUGAAGCCAGAGGAAACUCUGGUGGAGGCUCGCAGCGGUUCUGACGUGCAAAUCGAUCGUCAAAUAUGGGCAUGGGGGCGAAAGACUA